Long non-coding RNA from Lycium barbarum (goji berry), 907 nucleotides. RefSeq lists it as uncharacterized. Lineage: Eukaryota; Viridiplantae; Streptophyta; Magnoliopsida; Solanales; Solanaceae. The record is from RefSeq and is a predicted model, not a curated record. The transcript is spliced from 5 exons.
GCUAGCGGAGCCAGGCCUUCCUCCCCAUUAUGUAGCUGCUUAUAAGAAAAGGCUUCUUAAUACUAUGAAAAAUUCAAAGACGUCAUUGAGUCGUUAUGCAAUUCUGAUUCAACUUAUAACCAUCUAUUGAGAUUUCUGUUUGCUGCUGUGUGCCAUAUGGAUACAAAAUCUGGAUUAUUAUCACUUGAUAAUUUUAAAGCAGCACUAUCAAGUAUUCAACUGCAACCCAAGUUGGAAGCCUUGCAAGAUUGCUCCAUUUUACAGUUAUAUAUUCUUGUUUGCUGGAGGAGGUAGGAAGUCAAAGAGCAAGAGACUACUAACUUCAAUUCAGUAAUGAAAGGUUUGACUACUACAUGAUCCCUUUUGUUAAUAGUGUGAAUCCUGUGUCACUAACCAUGUUCUCAUGCCUUCCCGAGUAUAAAAGCGUGCAUGAAAUUGUACAUGAUUCGACAGAUACCAGCAACAACAACAACAUACCCAGUAUAAUCCCAUCAGGUGGGGUCUGGGGAGAUUUGACAGAUAUCAGUUUAAAAAAAAAAAAAAAGCGAAGAUGAUUCAUUCCCAACAACCGACUAUUAUGCACGGAAUGUAUGCCUCCGGGCAUUUGAACAUCUUUUACAACGCUAAUUGAUAUCCUUGGUUGACAACAGAGGGCAUGGCCAAUCUGUUGAAUUUCGUCCAGUGAGGCUUUUGAUCUUAUCACAUGAACUACAUCAGGGACUGAAAUCAUACCGUUCUUGUCCAAUAAGUUACUUUUAGGAACAAUUAUAUUCUUUUAGUCUGAAAUAUACUCGGGUGGUUGCGGAUAUCAAUAUCAUAAAAAAAAUAAACACACUUUCCAGUCAGUCGGUAUAAGCAAGUAGAGAAUUUUCCUUAAUGCCAUGUUCAUUAUCUAGUACUUCAUAAA